GACGAACGCUGGCGGCGUGCUUAACACAUGCAAGUCGAGCGAUGAAACGCCUUCGGGUGCGGAUUAGCGGCGAACGGGUGAGGAACACGUGAGGAAUCUGCCUUCCACUCUGGGAUAACUCCGGGAAACCGGGGCUAAUACCGGAUACUUUCAACUGGCGGCAUCGCCGGUUGCAGAAAGUUUUUCGGUGGAAGAUGACCUCGCGGCCUAUCAGCUUGUUGGUGAGGUAAAGGCUCACCAAGGCGACGACGGGUAGCCGGCCUGAGAGGGCGACCGGCCACACUGGGACUGAGACACGGCCCAGACUCCUACGGGAGGCAGCAGUGGGGAAGAUUGGGCAUGGAGGAAACUCUGACCCAGCGACGCCGCGUGAGGGAUGAAGGCCUUCGGGUUGUAAACCUCUUUCAGCAGGGAAUAAGCGAAAGUGAAGGUACCUGCAGAAGAAGCACCGGCUAACUAUGUGCCAGCCGCCGCCGUAA
Molecule: ribosomal RNA, 479 nt
Filed under: uncultured bacterium
Lineage: Bacteria
Description: partial 16S ribosomal RNA
Rfam family: Bacterial small subunit ribosomal RNA
Source: RNAcentral